This is a small nuclear RNA of Panthera pardus (leopard), 67 nucleotides long. Lineage: Eukaryota; Metazoa; Chordata; Mammalia; Carnivora; Felidae. The record is from Ensembl.
GUGCUCGCUUAGGCAGCACAUAUACUAAAAUUAGAACUAUAGAGAGAUUAGCAUGGCCCCUGUGCAA